GGGCGACUAGCUCAACUGGUAGAGCAACUCCCUCUUAAGGAGUCGGUUCGGGGUUCGAGCCCCCGGUCGCUCA
RNAcentral lists this transfer RNA (73 nucleotides) under Candidatus Gottesmanbacteria bacterium. Its description in RNAcentral is "tRNA-Lys". It matches the Rfam family "tRNA". Rfam says of the family: Transfer RNA (tRNA) molecules are approximately 80 nucleotides in length. Lineage: Bacteria; Candidatus Gottesmaniibacteriota. The record is from RNAcentral.